Molecule: long non-coding RNA, 339 nt
Filed under: Heterocephalus glaber (naked mole-rat)
Lineage: Eukaryota; Metazoa; Chordata; Mammalia; Rodentia; Bathyergidae
Description: lncRNA (ENSHGLG00100052273.1)
Source: RNAcentral
AUCCAAUUUGCAAGUCCUGGAAUGAUUCAGUUCCUUUUGUUACACUGCUAUCACAUAUGCUCAAGAUAUCAGGCCUGUGUUUGAGAAGUAGCUGGCAAGAAUUUUUCCCCCUGUGCAGAUGGUCUCUUCACUCUGUUGGUGGUUAAAGAGGCUACCUUUCCUCCAGUGAAGAGAUUUGGCCCCUUUGUCAAGGAUAACAUAGCUGAGUGUGCCUGGAGUUGUUUCUGUAUCUUCCAUUCUGUUCUGUUGAUCUUGCUGGGGAUCAAGCUCUGAAAAGAAGGCUUAAUAUGGACAGGACCCUCACAUAAAAUGAAAGAGAUAUCCAUCCCACCAAAUGAA